This 520-nucleotide ribosomal RNA is filed under the name uncultured Glomeromycotina. Its description in RNAcentral is "SSU rRNA". It matches the Rfam family "Eukaryotic small subunit ribosomal RNA", at positions 569 to 1089 of the family's 1831-position model. The record is from RNAcentral. Lineage: Eukaryota; Fungi; Glomeromycota.
AGCAGCCGCGGUAAUUCCAGCUCCAAUAGCGUAUAUUAAAGUUGUUGCGGUUAAAAAGCUCGUAGUUGAAUUUCGGAAUCUGUCCAUCGGUCGGGCUUCACUGUUCGUACUGGUGUGGUAGGUUCUUACCUUCUGAAUAACCAGCAUGCCAUUAAUUUGGUGCGUUGGGGAAGCAGGACUAUUACCUUGAAAAAAUUAGAGUGCUCAAAGCAGGCCAGUGCCUGAAUACAUUAGCAUGGAAUAAUAAAAUAGGACGGCAUGGUUCUAUUUUGUUGGUUUCUAGGAUCACCGUAAUGAUUAAUAGGGAUAGUUGGGGGCAUUAGUAUUCAAUUGUCAGAGGUGAAAUUCUUGGAUUUAUUGAAGACUAACUUCUGCGAAAGCAUUUGCCAAGGAUGUUUUCAUUAAUCAAGAACGAAAGUUAGGGGAUCGAAGACGAUCAGAUACCGUCGUAGUCUUAACCAUAAACUAUGCCGACUAGGGAUCGGACGAUGUUAAUUUUUAAUGACUCGUUCGGCGCCUU